This 462-nucleotide ribosomal RNA is filed under the name uncultured bacterium. RNAcentral's name for it is "bacterial SSU rRNA". It matches the Rfam family "Bacterial small subunit ribosomal RNA", at positions 8 to 466 of the family's 1533-position model. The record is from RNAcentral.
AGAGUUUGAUCAUGGCUCAGAUUGAACGCUGGCGGCAGGCCUAAGACAUGCAAGUCGAACGGUAACGACACUAGCUUGCUAGUGGUCGACGAGUGGCGGACGGGUGAGUAACGCGUAGGAAUCUACCUAGUAGUGGGGGAUAGCCAAGGGAAACUUUGGGUAAUACCGCAUACGAUCUAAGGAUGAAAGGGGGCCUCUCUUUGAAGCUCUCGCUAUUAGAUGAGCCUGCGUAAGAUUAGCUUGUUGGUGGGGUAAUGGCCCACCAAGGCGACGAUCUUUAGCUGGUCUGAGAGGAUGAUCAGUCACACUGGAACUGAGACACGGUCCAGACUCCUACGGGAGGCAGCAGUCGGGAAUAUUGGACAAUGGGGGAAACCCUGAUCCAGCCAUGCCGCUUGUGUGAAGAAGGCCCUAGGGUUGUAAAGCACUUUUAGUAGUGAGGAAGUGCUCAGUAUGUUAAUA